This 253-nucleotide ribosomal RNA is filed under the name uncultured bacterium. RNAcentral describes it as "partial 16S ribosomal RNA". It matches the Rfam family "Bacterial small subunit ribosomal RNA", at positions 524 to 776 of the family's 1533-position model. The record is from RNAcentral.
UACGGGGGGUGCAAGCGUUAUUCGGAAUUAUUGGGUGUAAAGGGCGCGUAGGCGGUUGUAUAAGUCAGAUGUGAAAGCCCUUGGCUUAACCAAGGAAGUGCAUUUGAUACUAUUUGACUUGAGUAUGGGAGAGGGAAGUGGAAUUCCUGGUGUAGAGGUGAAAUUCGUAGAUAUCAGGAGGAACACCGGUGGCGAAAGCGACUUCCUGGACCAAUACUGACGCUGAGGAGCGAAGGCGUGGGGAGCAAACAGG